AUUCCAGCUCCAAUAGCGUAUAUUAAAGUUGUUGCAGUUAAAACGCUCGUAGUCGGAUUUCGGGGCGGGCCGACCGGUCUGCCGAUGGGUAUGCACUGGCCGGCGCGUCCUUCCACCCGGAGACCGCGCCUACUCUUAACUGAGCGGGCGCGGGAGACGGGUCUUUUACUUUGAAAAAAUCAGAGUGUUUCAAGCAGGCAGUCGCUCUUGCAUGGAUUAGCAUGGGAUAAUGAAAUAGGACUCUGGUGCUAUUUUGUUGGUUUCUAGUACUGAAGUAAUGAUUGAUAGGGAUAGUUGGGGGCAUUAGUAUUUAUUAGCUAGAGGUGGAAUUCUCUAAUUUGAUAAAGACUAACUUAUGCGAAAGCAUUUGCCAAGGAUGUUUUCAUUA
Molecule: ribosomal RNA, 388 nt
Filed under: Gephyrocapsa cf. oceanica
Lineage: Eukaryota; Haptophyta; Isochrysidales; Noelaerhabdaceae
Description: partial small subunit ribosomal RNA
Rfam family: Eukaryotic small subunit ribosomal RNA
Source: RNAcentral